GACGAACGCUGGCGGCGUGCUUAACACAUGCAAGUCGAACGGAAAGGCCCUGCUUUUGCGGGGUGCUCGAGUGGCGAACGGGUGAGUAACACGCGAGUAACCUGCCCUUGACUUUGGGAUAACUUCAGGAAACUGGGGCUAAUACCGGAUAGGAGCUCCUGCUGCAAGGUGGGGGUUGGAAAGUUUCGGCGGUAGGGGAUGGACUCGAGGCUUAUGAGCUUGUUGGUGGGGUAGUGGCUUACCAAGGCUUCGACGGGUAGACGGCCUGGGAGGGCGCCCGGCGGCUGUGGGACUGCGUUACGACCCAGUCUCCGACGGGAAGCAGCAGUCGAAAAAGUUACGUAUUAAGGGGGAGCCUGAUACAGCGACGCCGGGUGCGGGAAGGCGGCCUUCUAGUUGUAAACCGCUUUCGCCUGUGACGAAGCCUGUGUGACGGUAAUGUGUAAAGAAGCACCGGCUAACUACGUG
This 468-nucleotide ribosomal RNA is filed under the name uncultured bacterium. RNAcentral describes it as "partial 16S ribosomal RNA". It matches the Rfam family "Bacterial small subunit ribosomal RNA", at positions 28 to 507 of the family's 1533-position model. The record is from RNAcentral.